RNAcentral lists this ribosomal RNA (253 nucleotides) under uncultured bacterium. Its description in RNAcentral is "partial 16S ribosomal RNA". It matches the Rfam family "Bacterial small subunit ribosomal RNA", at positions 524 to 776 of the family's 1533-position model. The record is from RNAcentral.
UACGGGGGGGGCAAGCGUUGUUCGGAAUUACUGGGCGUAAAGGGCUCGUAGGCGGCCAACUAAGUCGGAUGUGAAAUCCCCAGGCUUAACCUGGGAAUUGCAUCCGAUACUGGAUGGCUUGAAUCCGGGAGAGGGAUGCGGAAUUCCAGGUGUAGCGGUGAAAUGCGUAGAUAUCUGGAGGAACACCGGUGGCGAAGGCGGCAUCCUGGACCGGCAUUGACGCUGAGGCACGAAAGCUAGGGGAGCAAACAGG